UCCCCCGUGCUUGAUUGGAAAAUUCUCCAUU
RNAcentral lists this non-coding RNA (31 nucleotides) under Rattus norvegicus (Norway rat). Lineage: Eukaryota; Metazoa; Chordata; Mammalia; Rodentia; Muridae. The record is from RNAcentral.